Non-coding RNA from Rattus norvegicus (Norway rat), 809 nucleotides. NCBI's taxonomy places the organism in Eukaryota, Metazoa, Chordata, Mammalia, Rodentia, Muridae. The record is from RefSeq and is a predicted model, not a curated record.
ACUAAGGAGCCCUGCAAGCAACUGCACAGUGCCACGUGUGCAGGGCGAGAACAUUUACUGCACCACUGACAAGCUGCAGGAGAAGCUAACAAGGCUGCACCGGAAGCCAUGGGUAGGCAGCUGGGGCAGCAGACACUCCAGAGGCUGGGCCACCGUGACGAGGACGAGGGCUGUGAAGAAGGAAGUGUCAUGGCCACUGAGCUCGGCUCACCUGGAACUGCUCACAGGAGUAAAGAAAGAGGAAAGGUGGAAAGAGACUGGGAGUGGUAAAGUAGGUCUUCAUUUGUGUCAAGCUGACAAAACAGCAGCAACAACAACAACAACAGCAGCAGCAGCAACAACAGUAACAACAGCAGCAGCAGCAACAGCAACAACAGCAGCAACAGCAACAACAACAACAGCCGCAACAACAGCAGCAACAACAGCAGCAGCAGCAACAACAGUAACAACAGCAGCCACAGCAACAGCAACAACAACAACAACAGCAGCAACAACAGCAACAACAACAACAACAGCAGCAGCAACAACAACAGCAGCAGCAACAACAGUAACAACAGCAGCAGCAACAACAGUAACAACAGCAGCAACAACAACAGCAGCAGCAACAACAGUAACAACAGCAGCAGCAACAACAGCAGCAGCAGCAACAACAGUAACAACAGCAGCAGCAACAACAGUAACAACAGCAGCAACAACAACAACAACAGCAGCAGCAACAACAGUAACAACAGCAGCAGCAGCAACAACAACAACAACAGCAGCAACAAGCAGUACAUCAUUUUUCUCAAAUAAACUUGGGCAACCCAUGA